This 494-nucleotide ribosomal RNA is filed under the name uncultured bacterium. Its description in RNAcentral is "partial 16S ribosomal RNA". It matches the Rfam family "Bacterial small subunit ribosomal RNA", at positions 28 to 507 of the family's 1533-position model. The record is from RNAcentral.
GACGAACGCUGGCGGCGUGCUUAACACAUGCAAGUCGAACGGAAAGGCCUGCUUUCCCUUGUGGAUUGCGGGUACUCGAGUGGCGAACGGGUGAGUAACACGUGAGUGAUCUGCCCCCAACUUGGGUAUAAGCCUGGGAAACUGGGUCUAAUUCCCGAUAGGACUGCAGGGUGGUGCCUGUGGUGGAAAACGAUUUUCUAGUGGUUGGGGAUGAGCUCGCGGCCUAUCAGCUUGUUGGUGGGGUAAUGGCCUACCAAGGCGGCGACGGGUAGCCGGCCUGGGAGGGUGGACGGCGACAUUGGGACUGAGAUACGGCCCAGACUCCUACGGGAGGCAGCAGUGGGGAAUAUUGCACGAUGGGCGGAAGCCUGAUGCAGCGACGCCGCGUGGGGGAUGACGGCCUUCGGGUUGUAAACUCCUUUCGACCGCGAGGAAGCCACCUGGUUGGAAGGGUGGUGACGGUAGUGGUAGAAGAAGCACCGGCUAACUACGUG